AGGAGCACCUGGGAACUUGUUAGAAACACAGUUUCCAGGCUAAAUGUUCACUAUGUUAAGACCGUGCGUGUGUCGCCGGUUCUCGUGCCCUCCCUAGGCCGGGUUUUAUAAACGCUGGUGAUACAC
Small nucleolar RNA from Vulpes vulpes (red fox), 126 nucleotides. Its record names the gene SNORA72. It matches the Rfam family "Small nucleolar RNA SNORA72". Rfam says of the family: U72 is a member of the H/ACA class of snoRNAs. Lineage: Eukaryota; Metazoa; Chordata; Mammalia; Carnivora; Canidae. The record is from Ensembl.